Molecule: unclassified non-coding RNA, 483 nt
Filed under: Hevea brasiliensis (rubber tree)
Lineage: Eukaryota; Viridiplantae; Streptophyta; Magnoliopsida; Malpighiales; Euphorbiaceae
Source: RNAcentral
AGACGGAACACUGGAAAUACUUCGAUCGGUACCUAUAUAUAUCUUGCAGUUCUGAGUGGCCAAGUGAAUCCACAGGAAAUGGCUUAUGAUAACUCAUCCACGCUUGAGCCCAAACGUUCCCAUCAAUGGUUCAUGGAUGGCAUCGAGCCUGAAUUGCUUCCCAACAAGAAGCAAGCCAUUGAAGUACCUAAUCACAGUUCAUUCUCUGGACUUUUAAGUUCCAAUAUUGCCCCCUGGAUGAACACUCCAGGUUUCCACUCAGUAUCAGGCCAAUAUGCAGAAAGACAGUUUGACAAUGACAGCGCUAGAUCGCUCAGCUUUGAUGACAACAGUGUUCCAUCCGUUGGCAUAGGCAACAUUAAUAUGUCUAGAAAGGUGAUGGAAGAUCCAUUUGGAAGUGAUUCCUCAUUUGGUUUAUCCAUAUCCCAUACACUGGAGGAUCAUAAAUCAGGUCUUAACUAUAGUGGUAUCAGAAAGGUCAAA